This 444-nucleotide ribosomal RNA is filed under the name Triticum aestivum (bread wheat). RNAcentral describes it as "partial small subunit ribosomal RNA". The record is from RNAcentral. Lineage: Eukaryota; Viridiplantae; Streptophyta; Magnoliopsida; Poales; Poaceae.
AUGGCGGAGCACGCCGCCCCGGAGCUACCCAAGAGGUGCCACCACUGCGCAGGGCCCCUCUCCAAGGACAUGGAAACUAGCAGCUGGACCGUCACUCCAUUGGUUCGAGAUAGCUUCUCAAUGGUUUGUUCCGUCGCCUUUCACUGCUCACCAGUGCAAAUUGGUUCCGCUGUUGGGGGCACUGCAGGCGCAUUUUAUGCAUUUAAUCAUGCUAUGCCUGUUGUUCGGCGUUACAUAAAAGGGCCAAUGUGGAUGCAUUUUCUUGUUGGUGCCCCUCCAGUUGUUGUAUUCUCUUCUGCAUGUGCUGGAUUAGCAGCUGGUACAAUACCAGCCCUUGCACAACUGGUUUCGUCGUCCUGUCAUGCCGCCAUGUCAUCGCCCUCGUUCGCCCGCCCUGCUUCUCGCGAUGACAUGCACAAGAGCAGAGGCUCCUCGCCAUUGUAA